RNAcentral lists this ribosomal RNA (403 nucleotides) under uncultured Oscillospiraceae bacterium. RNAcentral describes it as "bacterial SSU rRNA". It matches the Rfam family "Bacterial small subunit ribosomal RNA", at positions 356 to 774 of the family's 1533-position model. The record is from RNAcentral. Lineage: Bacteria; Bacillati; Bacillota; Clostridia; Eubacteriales; Oscillospiraceae.
GGGGAAUAUUGGGCAAUGGACGAAAGUCUGACCCAGCAACGCCGCGUGAAGGAAGAAGGCUUUCGGGUUGUAAACUUCUUUUAAGGGGGAAGAGUAGAAGACGGUACCCCUUGAAUAAGCCACGGCUAACUACGUGCCAGCAGCCGCGGUAAUACGUAGGUGGCAAGCGUUAUCCGGAUUUACUGGGUGUAAAGGGCGUGUAGGCGGGACUACAAGUCAGAUGUGAAAUUCCAGGGCUCAACCCUGGAACUGCAUUUGAAACUGUAGUUCUUGAGUGAUGGAGAGGCAGGCGGAAUUCCGAGUGUAGCGGUGAAAUGCGUAGAUAUUCGGAGGAACACCAGUGGCGAAGGCGGCCUGCUGGACAUUAACUGACGCUGAGGCGCGAAAGCGUGGGGAGCAAACA